RNAcentral lists this unclassified non-coding RNA (342 nucleotides) under Hevea brasiliensis (rubber tree). Lineage: Eukaryota; Viridiplantae; Streptophyta; Magnoliopsida; Malpighiales; Euphorbiaceae. The record is from RNAcentral.
GAUAUUUUACUAUCACUACAAAGAGUAAGAAACUGCUUCUCAGAGGACGAAAAAAUUGGAGCUCAUACAUGCCAUCAUUAACACUAUCUGGAUCGAUUAACUUCAUAAAUCCUGAGGGAAAUUGUUGAUUUGUCCUUCUUCCAACAUAUCUUUGUUGUUCAGCUUGUAUGCUAUCCUUAUGCGCAUGACAAGUGCUUUCUUGCCAUGUUGGCUGUUAGUUACCCUCAAGCUUUGUGUGACCGACCCAUUAUCACUUGCAGGUAGUGUAUUGCGGCUAGCUGGAUCCAAGUGCAACUGAAGAAACUUUGGAACGGCUGCCUGGAAAACAAAAUCUGUAAAUGC